UUCCGGUUGAUCCUGCCGGAGGUCACUGCUAUUGGAGUUCGAUUAAGCCAUGCGAGUCAAUAGUUCUUCGUGAACUAGGCGGACUGCUCAGUAACACGUGGGUAAUCUACCCUCGGGUCAGGGACAACCCCGGGAAACUGGGGAUAAUACCUGAUAGGUGAAGUGGUCUGGAAUGAUACUUCGCCUAAAGCUCCGGCGCCCGAGGAUGAGCCUGCGGCCGAUUAGGUUGUUGGCGGUGUAAAGGACCACCAAGCCUGUGAUCGGUACGGGUGGUGAGAGCCAUAGCCCGGAGAUGGGGGCUGAGACACGGCCCCAGGCCCUACGGGGCGCAGCAGGCGCGAAAACUACGCAAUGCGCGAAAGCGUGACGUGGGAACUCCAAGUGCCUUGCCUUCGGGUAAGGCUUUUGUGCAGUGUAAGUAGUUGCACGAAUAAGAGCGGGGUAAGACCGGUGCCAGCCGCCGCGGUAACACCGGCCGCUCAAGUGGUGACCGCUUUUAUUGGGCCUAAAGCGUUCGUAGCCGGUCCGGUAAGUCCUUGGGUAAAUCCUUCGGCUUAACCGAAGGAAUUCCGAGGAUACUGCCGGACUUGGAGUUGAGAGAAGUCGGAGGUACCUCCGGGGUAGGGGUGAAAUCCUAUAAUCCUGGGGGGACCACCAGUGGCGAAGGCGUCCGACUAGAGUAAGCUCGACGGUGAGGGACGAAAGCCAGGGGCGCGAACGGGAUUAGAUACCCCGGUAGUCCUGGCCGUAAACGCUGCGCGCUAGGUGUUACGUCCUCUACGAGGGGACGUAGUGCCGAAGAGAAGUUGAUAAGCGUGCCGCCUGGGAAGUAUUACCGCAAGGUAGAAACUUAAAGGAAUUGGCGGGGGAGCACCACAAGGGGUGGAGUCUGCGGUUCAAUUGGAUUCAACGCCGGG
This 917-nucleotide ribosomal RNA is filed under the name uncultured archaeon. RNAcentral describes it as "bacterial SSU rRNA". It matches the Rfam family "Archaeal small subunit ribosomal RNA", at positions 1 to 922 of the family's 1478-position model. The record is from RNAcentral.